UAGGGAAUAUUGGACAAUGGGGGAAACCCUGAUCCAGCCAUGCCGCGUGCAGGAUGAAGGCCUUCGGGUUGUAAACUGCUUUUGUACGGAACGAAACGGUCUUUUCUAAUACAGAAGGCUAAUGACGGUACCGUAAGAAUAAGCACCGGCUAACUACGUGCCAGCAGCCGCGGUAAUACGUAGGGUGCAAGCGUUAAUCGGAAUUACUGGGCGUAAAGCGUGCGCAGGCGGUUAUGUAAGACAGUUGUGAAAUCCCCGGGCUCAACCUGGGAACUGCAUCUGUGACUGCAUAGCUAGAGUACGGUAGAGGGGGAUGGAAUUCCGCGUGUAGCAGUGAAAUGCGUAGAUAUGCGGAGGAACACCGAUGGCGAAGGCAAUCCCCUGGACCUGUACUGACGCUCAUGCACGAAAGCGUGGGGAGCAAACAGGAUUAGAUACCCCUGUAGUCCCUGAGCGGGCUGGCAAGGCGCAU
This 472-nucleotide ribosomal RNA is filed under the name uncultured bacterium. Its description in RNAcentral is "bacterial SSU rRNA". It matches the Rfam family "Bacterial small subunit ribosomal RNA", at positions 355 to 825 of the family's 1533-position model. The record is from RNAcentral.